Molecule: ribosomal RNA, 253 nt
Filed under: uncultured bacterium
Lineage: Bacteria
Description: partial 16S ribosomal RNA
Rfam family: Bacterial small subunit ribosomal RNA
Source: RNAcentral
UACGUAGGGGGCAAGCGUUGUCCGGAAUUACUGGGCGUAAAGCGCGCGUAGGCGGGUUUGCAAGUCGAUUGUGAAAGCCCUGGGCUUAACCCGGGAUGUGCAGUCGAAACUGUAAAUCUUGAGUGCCUGAGAGGAUGGCGGAAUUCCCGGUGUAGUAGUGAAAUACGUAGAUAUCAGGAGGAACACCGGUGGCGAAGGCGGGACUCUGGGCCGAUACUGACGCUGAGGAGCGAAAGCGUGGGGAGCGAACAGG